Molecule: ribosomal RNA, 465 nt
Filed under: uncultured bacterium
Lineage: Bacteria
Description: bacterial SSU rRNA
Rfam family: Bacterial small subunit ribosomal RNA
Source: RNAcentral
CCUACGGGAGGCUGCAGUGGGGAAUUUUGGACAAUGGACGAAAGUCUGAUCCAGCAAUGCCGCGUGCAGGACGAAGGCCUUCGGGUUGUAAACUGCUUUUGUACGGAACGAAACGGUCUUCUUUAAUACAGAGGGCUAAUGACGGUACCGUAAGAAUAAGCACCGGCUAACUACGUGCCAGCAGCCGCGGUAAUACGUAGGGUGCGAGCGUUAAUCGGAAUUACUGGGCGUAAAGCGUGCGCAGGCGGUUAUAUAAGUCAGAUGUGAAAUCCCCGGGCUCAACCUGGGACCUGCAUUUGAGACUGUAUAGCUAGAGUACGGUAGAGGGGGAUGGAAUUCCGCGUGUAGCAGUGAAAUGCGUAGAUAUGCGGAGGAACACCGAUGGCGAAGGCAAUCCCCUGGACCUGUACUGACGCUCAUGCACGAAAGCGUGGGGAGCAAACAGGAUUAGAUACCCGUGUAGUC